This is an RNA transcript of Capsicum annuum, 2289 nucleotides long. It is a transcript of the gene named renalase, with no coding region annotated. The record is from RefSeq and is a predicted model, not a curated record. Lineage: Eukaryota; Viridiplantae; Streptophyta; Magnoliopsida; Solanales; Solanaceae. The transcript is spliced from 11 exons.
UAUGAGAAGGAGAUGCUUGAAUGUGGCAAGACAAAACAAUCAAAAGAACAAACUCAACAAGACUAAAGUGCCAACGUUAGUUCACUCGCACAUAACUACUUGAACAUUAGCGUUAUCCUAUGUUGUCUCCUCAGCCCUUCAUUUUUCCCUCCAAUCUCUCCAUGACCAUCUCUUUCAACAACCCCCUCCUCUCCUCUUCCUUCCUUCAUCAACCUCUCAAUUCUCCAACAUUCCCAUAUGUAUCCAUUUUCUUCCCCAAAAUCUCCAACCCCAUCUCCCCAAAUCGCUAUAUUCCUAUAAAAUCCAUCACUAAAGCAUCCAUGGAGUCCAGGAAUCCCACACAAAGAAGAAGUUCAAGUCCAAGAAAAUUCAAACCCAGACAUGGAACUUCAAGAAGAUCAACUCUUAAGAAAAGUCUCAGUCAAGAACAAGUUGAUUUUACUAAACCUGUUCCUGAGGAUCCUGUUGUUGGGAUUAUUGGAGGUGGCAUGUCCGGCCUUACCUGUGCUCUUCAACUGGAGAAAAGAGGCAUUCGUUCAACCGUUUUCGACACGGGAAUACAUGGGUUGGGAGGACGAAUGGGAACAAGAAUGAUUGAUCAUCAGCCUUUGAUAUUUGACCAUGCAGCUCAGUUCUUCACGGUGACCAACCCCAAGUUUGCUGAGCUAGUUGAUGGCUGGUUGAAGAGAGGUUUGGUUCGUGAAUGGCUGGGUACAAUUGGUGAGCUUGAAGUUGGUGGGCAUUUUGUUCCAUUUCCUUCUAAACCUACAAAAUAUAUAGGGGUCAACGGAAUGCGCCCACUUGCGGAUUCAUUACUAUCUCAGACUUCUUUGGUCAAUGUGGUACGGCCUUGUUGGGUCAGCACACUCGAACCAUUUAAUGGGACUUGGCACUUGAGUGAGAAGGGGAAGCCUUGUGGACAGUUUGAUGCAAUUGUCAUUGCACAUAAUGGAAAAUGUGCAAAUAGAUUGCUUGCAGCAUCAGGCUUACCCCUCAUUGCAAGACAAAUGAAGAGACUUGAACUCAGUUCUAUAUGGGCUCUUCUUGCUGCAUUUGAGGAUCCUCUGCCUACUGCACUAAAUGCAGAGUCCCUUCCCUUUGAAGGGGCUUUCGUAAAAGGGGUUGAUUCUGUCUCAUGGAUGGCAAACAACACUAAGAAACUCUUAGCUUCAGAUAGUGGUCCAGAAUGUUGGACAUUUUUCAGCACUGCAACCUUUGGAAAGCAGAACAAAGUCCCCCAGGAAAGUAUUCCAACUACUACAGUAGAUAAAGUGAAGGAAGCUAUGCUUGAGGGUGUUGAGAAGGCUCUAGGACUGUCAAAAAGUUCACUCCAAAAGCCAUUUUUUACCAGAUUACAACUAUGGCCACCGUGGAAUUAUCGAACAGCGAAACAACAUCAUAAUCCUCCUCCACGGCCUCCCAAAGAUCUAAAGUCUCAAGAUAAGUCUGCCCAAAAUUGGGGUGCAGCUCUUCCGACCAACACCCCUGGAAUUCCAUGCAUCUUUGAUCCUCGUGGAAGGGCUGGUAUAUGUGGCGAUUGGCUACUUGGCUCAAGUUUAGAAGCUGCAGCUAUAAGUGGCAUAGCUGUUGCUGAUCAAAUUGCAGAUUACUUCGAACAAGGUGGACCUUGCACAGAUGAGUUUGCUAUUGGUUUGCAUGAUGAAUAUAAGCCACUUGAAGGACAUGAUAUAGGGCAGUUCCUGGGACUGGAAUCUGUUGAUCAAACCACUACCCCAGCUUUGACACUUGCUACAUGAAUUGAUCCUUUGACAAAGUCUUCCGUAAGAUGAUUAGUUGGUUAAAGCAUGUGAACAAAUUAAGACUCACUACCAGAACAAGCAAUUUGCAAUGCUGGUUAUAGACAUACUUGAGCUUGAAUCAUUUUGCUUGCAGCUCAUGAGAAGGUUCAACUAAAUACCAGAUAACUGAAACCCGAGUUGGAUUUCUCGAACCUUCAUCCUUCGGUUGAAGAGAAAAAGCUCUCAUAAGUCAAGCCGGAUGCCAUUAGAAUCUCAGUUGGUUACACGUUUAUUAAAACCUUGAACGACGAAUUCUACAAUUUCAGAGAGAAAUUUUUGCAGUUUAUAUGCAGUGUGGUAGGUCCUCAAAAAGAUGAUGAUUAGUACAUAGGUAGUUUUUGUUUUUCCAAAGGAGAUUAUUCUUGAUAAGUGUGUUUUGGGCAUAAAAAGGUACUUGUUGCGUUGUUGGUUACAACUUAUAUGGACGAACAUCAAACUAAGAAACUUGAUUUGUGUUGCUUAAUAACAAUCUUCAUAUUAUGAGAACUCA